This 512-nucleotide ribosomal RNA is filed under the name uncultured bacterium. RNAcentral describes it as "bacterial SSU rRNA". It matches the Rfam family "Bacterial small subunit ribosomal RNA", at positions 15 to 518 of the family's 1533-position model. The record is from RNAcentral.
GAUCAUGGCUCAGGAUGAACGCUAGCUACAGGCUUAACACAUGCAAGUCGAGGGGCAGCAUUGGAGUAGCAAUACUUCAGAUGGCGACCGGCGCACGGGUGAGUAACACGUAUCCAACCUGCCGCUUACUCGGGGAUAGCCUUUCGAAAGAAAGAUUAAUACCCGAUGGUAUAAAGAGUUCGCAUGUUCUCUUUAUUAAAGAAUUUCGGUAAGCGAUGGGGAUGCGUUCCAUUAGAUAGUUGGCGGGGUAACGGCCCACCAAGUCUACGAUGGAUAGGGGUUCUGAGAGGAAGGUCCCCCACAUUGGAACUGAGACACGGUCCAAACUCCUACGGGAGGCAGCAGUGAGGAAUAUUGGUCAAUGGACGAGAGUCUGAACCAGCCAAAGUAGCGUGAAGGAUGACUGCCCUAUGGGUUGUAAACUUCUUUUAUAAGGGAAUAAAGUGAGGGACGUGUCCCUUUUUGUAUGUACCUUAUGAAUAAGGAUCGGCUAACUCCGUGCCAGCCGCCGC